RNAcentral lists this small nuclear RNA (18 nucleotides) under Arabidopsis thaliana (thale cress). RNAcentral describes it as "snRNA_07568". Lineage: Eukaryota; Viridiplantae; Streptophyta; Magnoliopsida; Brassicales; Brassicaceae. The record is from RNAcentral.
UUGCCACACUUCUGAGCU